This 300-nucleotide RNase P RNA is filed under the name pig gut metagenome. RNAcentral describes it as "Bacterial RNase P class A". It matches the Rfam family "Bacterial RNase P class A", at positions 35 to 362 of the family's 367-position model. From Rfam's summary of the family: Ribonuclease P (RNase P) is a ubiquitous endoribonuclease, found in archaea, bacteria and eukarya as well as chloroplasts and mitochondria. The record is from RNAcentral.
UUAUCCUCGAGGAAAGUCCGAGCAUCACAGGACAGAAUACCUGUUAACGACAGGCGGAGGCGACUCCAGGGCUAGUGCAACAGAAAUAAACCGCCGAUUUUUCGGUAAGGAUGGAAAGGCGAGGUAAGAGCUCACCGGUGUGCAGGAGACUGCACAGCCAUGUAAACCCUAUUCGAUGCAACACCGACUAAGAUGUUAUCGUUGGUCCGACGGUCUUGACGGGUGGCAUUGAGCAUAUAUGGCGACAUUAUGCCAAGAUAGAUUACCGUAUUUAACAGAACUCGGCUUACAGAUUUGGUC